GAGAGAGAGUUCAGCGUGGCUACACAGGACAUCUCAGACAUUUGCUCCACCCAAAGAGGAUAUGCAUGUGGAGCCUGUAGAAGGGCUGAAACUAUUCAACCUGAAUCACAACUUUUUCCCUGGUCGAGGGUGAAGUCCUGUCCGUGUCUAUGAAAUCACAUGGCAUUAUAAGAAUGCUUCAAAGAUGGCGGUUUGUGGUAACAGAGUGCAGAAAAGUGCAUGUUUGGAGGUGCUCGUACGGGAGCGAUGGCACGCGGUGCUGGCGAGUUUAAGCGACGAGUCGCUGACGCUCAGCUGCGAGGAGCCCGCGGCAGACACCAGCGUUAACCUGAACGGCAUCACCACCAACGGCUCCUACGACCAGCCGGACCCCACGAACAGUCCCAAAGCCGGAGUAUGGACUCCUUUUACGGAUUCACAAGUGCCCGAAGCGAUUGCGAACCGCAAAAGAUGUGUCAAAGUUAUCAAACAGGAGGUCGGUGGAUUAGGGAUAAGCAUCAAAGGCGGAAAGGAGAACAAGAUGCCUAUUCUUAUUAGUAAAAUAUUCAAAGGUCUGGCUGCGGAUCAGACUCAAGCGCUCUACGUGGGGGACGCGAUACUGUCCGUGAACGGGAUCAAUCUGCGGGACGCCACUCACGACGAGGCGGUGCAGGUGCUGAAGAAAGCAGGCAAAGAAGUUAUGCUGGAAGUGAAAUACAUGCGGGAAGCAACACCAUAUGUGAAAAAAGGCUCACCGGUGUCUGAGAUCGGCUGGGAGACGCCCCCUCCUGAGUCCCCUCGUCUCGGCAGUCCUCACUUCGAUGUCCCCAGCCCCCCCUCGCUGUCCUUACAGGGCGACCGCAGAUACAUCCCCCUCAAAAUGUGCUACAUCACCCGCAGUAUGACUGUCCCUGACCCAGAAAACAGGCAGAUAGAGCUGCACUCCUCUGACGCCAAGCACACAAUAGUCAUGAGACAUAAAGACACAGCUUCUGCCCAGACCUGGUUCACUCUCAUGCAAACUGCCAUCACAAACCUCACCAGCCAAGUCAUCAGUGAACUCCGAGAACACGCAAGCCGACACGGCAUCGCCGGGAGUCGAGAGAUCCGACACUUCGGCUGGCUAGCGGAAAAGACGGAAAGUGAAAGACAGCGAUGGAAGCCGGUGCUCGUGAUGUUGACGGAGAAAGACCUGCUGCUGUUUGACAGUAUGCCACGCAUGAGAGAACACUGGCUCAGCCCGACACACACCUACCCUCUGCUCGCCACACGGCUGGUGCAUUCUGGUCCAGAUAAGGGUUCACCACAGCCUGGUGGCGAGUUGUCCUUUGCUACACGAACAGGAACCAGAUUGGGUAUCGAAGCCCACCUCUUCAGAGCAGAGACCUGCAAGGACCUGUCACUCUGGACCAGACACAUAGUCACUGGCUGCCACGCAUCUGCCGAGAUGAUCAAAGAAGUCACUACCAAUUCUGACCUCGACAGACUCAACAGAGGAAAUGGACCAGAGAAAAUUUCCAUGUCAAAAAGGGCGGAGCCUACCUAUUAUGUUGUAUGUAUCAGGGUCAGGACUGCCGGUUGGUCAUUCACUAUGAGCGAGGUUUCUCUGUCAUAGCUGAUGGAGAGGACAGCUCUCUGGCACAGCCGCUUUUCAGCUACCCGUUUGAAAAGCUGAAGAUGUCGGCUGACGACGGCGUACGGAUCCUCUAUUUGGAUUUCGGUGGGAACGAGGGUGAAAUUCAACUGGACUUGCACUCCUGUCCCAAGCCUAUUGUUUUUAUCCUCCACUCCUUCCUUUCAGCCAAGAUUGCAAGAUUAGGAUUGGUAGCCUGAGAUUGAACUGUUACAGACUGAAACAGUGACGUGAUUAUUUCAACACUGAGAAGGGAAAUCCAGAAAGAGGUGGAACUCGCAAGACUGAGUGAGAGCGAUAAUGCGGAACUGACGUUGUAGCAAACCAGACCUCUGAAUGAUUUUAAUUACAUUUCAGUAAUGAUAAACUAUGUAUUUUUCAGAGAUAUAUUAAUUAUAGUGAAACACAAUUUCACAUUGAUUUUCUAAGGAAAAAAAAAAAAAAAUCAAACUAUAUAAUGAACACUAGCUUGUGAUUGGAACUAAAAAAUAAUACUGGAAGUAUUAUUAUAGAAUCCAAUACAGCAGAGUAUUCAGCACUUACAGUACCAUUAACUUCUAUAUAACGGUAGGGAAGGCAGCCAUCUGUAUGACAGCUGUCUGAGUAAUUGCAUCUGUCUGGCAGCUAAUGUGGAUUAAAGAAAGGCUAGUUUAAACCCUGUUAAUGCACAUAAAAGUUAAAACAUCUCGUUUAGUUUCUGGUACUUUCACUCGGGAUAUGCACUACACCGAUGGUUGAGCAGAAUCAACAAGGACAUUCUAGAGUGCUGGUCAUCAAAGAGGCAUGUCAACAAACUGUCUGCUUUCACAAGGCCUUUGUGACAAAAGGGGAAAUCGAGACAGGGUCAGCCCUCCCCUUCAGAACUGUAUCUGUUUCCACAGACAAAUGGAGUUUCGGUGACUUUUACAAACGUUUCACUUCCAAAAUUUGAAGUACUGCUGUAAACUUGUGACAUGCAAAAGAAAUCUUUAGUGACGCUGCCACAUUUGUGUAGUUGUUUUUUAAUAUUCAUCAGAAGAAUGUUCUCAAUUAUUGCUUGAUGUGCAUGCAUGCACACUAGCACAACAACUAUUGUGGAGGCUCAGAUUUUCUCUCGUUGGCCUGUGGUCAUAUGCACACACAAAGGCCAUUGAAGUACUUCGGAUGUCAGAUUAUAAAUUAGAGUACUUGAGAGUUUCCAAGUUAACCAGCAAUUAGUGUCCAUUGUCGGGCACUGAGCAUUCCCAGAGCACCGCUCCAUUGUAGGGGUUAUGGAUUUGGGGACAGCAGGGCCCCUGUGGCACAGCCUUUGUCUCAUCUGUGAAACCGUCCCUGCCACAUUCCAGCACACAUGACAGAUCCAGGAGUCAAAGGCCUGGGAAUUUGUUUUCCACAGUAAAUAGAUAGUUCAUUCUAAAAUGAAAAUUCUGUUGUUUACCACCCUCAAGUCAUUUUAAACUCUUGGAACACGAAAGAUGAUGAAUUUGAAGAAUGAUUCUGUCCAAAUUAUGAAAGUCAAUUCAAUUUUGAAAGCCCAAGACUUUCAAGCUCCAAAAGGACAUUUAGUCAAAUCGAUUAAUCGCGAUUAAUCACAUCUAACAUAAAAGUUUGUUUAUAUAAUAUAUAUAGUGUGAAGUUAUGCUGCGUUCAUGCCAUGCCGUAAUUACUAGAUCGCAAGCUGGAAUAUCCUUAAUAUAUUAUUCAUAUUAUGCAUUUGUAUGGAAACACUAUUAAAGGCAAAAUGAAUUGGAGUAAUUUGAGUAAGACAAACCACAAUACAAGUAACAGUGCUAACUCUUUACAAUAAGGUCUAGUUUGUUAACAUUAGUUAAUGUAUUAACUAACAUGAACUAAGAAUGAGCAAUACAUUUGUUACAGUAUUUAUUCAUCUUUGUUAAAGGGUUAGUUCACCCAAAAAUGAAAAUUGUCAUUAAUAACUCACCCUCAUGUCGUUUCACACCCGUAAGACCUUCGUUCAUCUUCAGAACACAAAUUAAGAUAUUUUUGAUCAAAUCCGAUGGCUCAGUGAGGCCUGCAUUGCCAGCAAGAUAAUUAACACUUUCAGAUGCCCAGAAAGCUACUAAAGUUAUAUUUAAAACAGUUCUUGUGACUACAGUGGUUCAACCUUAAUGUUAUGAAGCGACGAGAAUACUUUUUGUGUGCCAAAAACAAAAUAACGACUUUAUUCAACAAUAUCUAGUGAUGGGCGAUUUCAAAACACUGCUUCAUGAAGCUUUGAAGCUUUACGAAUCUUUUGUUUUGAAUCAGUGGUUCGGAGCGUGUAUCAAACUGCCAAAGUCAACCCCCAGUGCAAACUUCAAAACUUAUGACGUAAUGAAGCCUCGUUUACGGAAAUCACGUGACUUUCAAGCUCAGAACCACUGAUUCGAAACAAAAGAUUCAUGAAGCUUUAUGAAGCAGUGUUUUGAAAUCGCCCAUCACUAGAUAUUGUUGAAUAAAGUCGUUAUUUUGUUUUUUGGCGAUCGGAUUUUAUCAUCAGAUUUUAUCAAAAAUAUCUUAAUUUGUGUUCCAAAGAUGAACGAAGGUCUUACGGGUGUGGAAUGACAAUGACAGAAUUUUCAUUUUUGGGUGAACUAACCCUUUAAUGUUAGUUAAGAAAAAUACUGCUGUUCAUUGUUAGUUAAUGCACUGUGAACUAACAAACGUUAACAAAUACAACUUUAAACUAAGAUUAAUAAAUGCUGUAGUGGUAUUAUUCAUUCUUAGUUCAUGUUAACUAAAGUAGUUAACUAAUGAAACCUUAUUGUAAAGUGUUACUGUAUCGGUUAUGCAAAUGCCUUAUUAACAAACUUAUUUAGUGGAACAUUAGAUUAUUAAACUUUGUGCUAGAUACAUUAAACUAUAUUAUGUCUUGAUUAUUUUCAGAUUAUUCUUGCAUUAUUAAAAAAUGAAUAGUUAUUUAUUAAUAAUAAAUACUUAAAUAUGAAAUUACUAUGUUUUAUUGCUGCGGCUGCUGGUAUUCUGAGUGUUUCCACAUGGCAUUGCAGUUGUCAGGAGGUACAAGUCAGAGCUUUCAAGCUGUAAUUACAAGUUCUAGGAUGUAAAUGCUUUUUACAAGUCAUGAAUCUUGUAAUUACUGUAAUUUUGACAUGGUGUGAAUGCACCUUUAAUACAUACGACUUGACUGGUAUAUUUUGGUCUACUGAAGUGACUUAAUUACGCUGUAUGAUUCACUCUUAAACAAAUCAAAACACUGGUCAGUGCAAAUCCAAAUAUUGCCACAAAUAUUUGGAUCCCAUUGACUUUAAUAAUGUGGACAAAAACAUUCAAGAAAAAAUAAAUUUUUUUUUUUGUAUUGAGCAGAACAGUCAUACAGGUAUGGAAUGACAAGAGGGUGAGUAAAUGUGUUGAAUUAAUAAUUUCACACAAAAGGAUUAUAUAUAUUUUCAGAUUCUCCAACAAUAGCAGGUUCUACACACCAACUGCACGACUUCCGUAUUUUACUUUACUUCUACUGUUUAGGAAUAAUAACGUUAUUUGCAUCCUCAUUUUCAGUUUAAGUUUCAAUAAAUGGUCACUGGGAGGAAGUUUAGAGUUCUGAAAAUUACAGCAUGUUUUCAUAGUACAAUGAACUCUUAUGAAAAGAUCAAGGAACAUUCGAUUCCUCAUGAAAUGAACCCUUUUAUAUCAAGACGUCAGCACGAAGAACAAAGUGAGAUGUUUAAACACUGUAGAAGAGCUUAUCUUGUCAGAAAACAAGUCUGCAUUUGAAUAGUUUACCCACACAGGUCAAAAUACUGAUUCAAAGCUGGGGAAAAUGGAGUAUCACAAUGUAUCAAAAUAAACAGAACCCUAUUAAAAUAA
RNA transcript from Ctenopharyngodon idella (grass carp), 5416 nucleotides. It is a transcript of the gene named syntrophin, basic 1, with no coding region annotated. The record is from RefSeq and is a predicted model, not a curated record. The transcript has 8 exons. NCBI's taxonomy places the organism in Eukaryota, Metazoa, Chordata, Actinopteri, Cypriniformes, Xenocyprididae.